This 491-nucleotide ribosomal RNA is filed under the name uncultured bacterium. Its description in RNAcentral is "partial 16S ribosomal RNA". It matches the Rfam family "Bacterial small subunit ribosomal RNA", at positions 29 to 506 of the family's 1533-position model. The record is from RNAcentral.
AGUGAACGCUGGCGGUAGGCCUAACACAUGCAAGUCGAACGGCAGCACAGUAAGAGCUUUCUCUUACUGGUGGCGAGUGGCGGACGGGUGAGGAAUACAUCGGAAUCUACUUUUUCGUGGGGGAUAACGUAGGGAAACUUACGCUAAUACCGCAUACUAUCUACCGGUGAAAUCAGGGGAUCUUCAGACCUUUGCUGACUGAAUUAGCCGAUGUCGGAUUAGCUAGUUGGCUGGGUAAAGUCCCACCAUGGCGAGGAUCCGUAGCGUGUCUGAGAGGAUGAUCAGCCAACCUGGAACUGAAAACGGGUCCAGCCCCCACGGGGAGGAAGCAGUGGGAAAUAUCGGAAAAUGGGCGAAAGCCUGAUCCAGAAAUCCCGCGGGGGUGAAGAAGGCCUUCGGGUUGUAAAGCCCUUUUGUUGGGAAAGAAAAGCAGCAGGUUAAUACCCCGCUGUUCGGAGGGUACCAAAAGAAUAAGCACCGGCUAACUUCGU